RNAcentral lists this transfer RNA (72 nucleotides) under Clostridioides difficile. RNAcentral describes it as "tRNA-OTHER". It matches the Rfam family "tRNA". Rfam says of the family: Transfer RNA (tRNA) molecules are approximately 80 nucleotides in length. The record is from RNAcentral. Lineage: Bacteria; Bacillati; Bacillota; Clostridia; Peptostreptococcales; Peptostreptococcaceae.
GCGGGUGUAGCUCAAUGGUAGAGUUCUGGCCUUCAAGCCAGCUGUGAGGGUUCGAUCCCUUCACCCGCUCCA